UUAAUUAAUUUAACAAAAACUUUAACAUUUAAAGUACAUAUGUGGUGGAGUACUAUCUACAGUAAUAAUAGGCGUUGCCCAAGAAAGAAUCGAGCAACGCUAAUAGCCUUUUGGUCGAACAGGCUUGCUCCUAACCUCCUCUAGAUUUGCUUUUUCUUCUUCUAAGAUUAGGUAUGUGUCUUUGAAUCGCCGAGGAGAUAUAGCUUCAUCAGUUGAUCCGAAGAAAAGAACCCCGAGGGUUCAAGUCUCGGUAACCCAUCCUAAACCAUCGCCUCCCUCUCUGGCCAAAAGAGAACAAGAUGCUAUAAGGGCUCUUUCUCUUCUUUCUCUAUUUUCGCCUCCACUACGGUGCGCGAUUCUUGGAUCCAUAAGGGCUUUGCUUUUCAUCCCCUCUUGUUGGGUAUUGUUAUGCUUCUAGUUUGCUUAGAUUCUAAAGGUCAAUAAACAGCUCUGCGGGCUCUACUAAUGCUUGAAGAGCUGUUUAAUUCUGUGUAUGAACUUCUUGCUGACGUCCCAAUCUUAGGUGUAGAAGAAAAGUGGUGCAAGCUUACCAUCCUUGGUCUUCAUUGUGCCUGAUCUAGGAUUCCUCAAUUGUAGGCCUUGGGCUUUGUUUAGUGUUUGUGGGUUUUAGGCCUAUUAAAUGUGUUUUCUGCAAUAUUUGAUUGGAGUGGAGGUUUUGAUUUAACUGUA
Molecule: long non-coding RNA, 690 nt
Organism: Hevea brasiliensis (rubber tree)
Lineage: Eukaryota; Viridiplantae; Streptophyta; Magnoliopsida; Malpighiales; Euphorbiaceae
Exons: 2
Source: RefSeq, a predicted model, not a curated record